AUGCUCACUUCCACAGCACAUAAACUAAAAUUGGAAGACUGAAUAGAUGAUUAGCAUGGUCCUUAUGUAAGGAGAAUACAUAAACUCGUAAAAUACACUGUAUAUUU
Molecule: small nuclear RNA, 107 nt
Organism: Cebus imitator (Panamanian white-faced capuchin)
Lineage: Eukaryota; Metazoa; Chordata; Mammalia; Primates; Cebidae
Source: Ensembl